GCGCAAGCCUGAUGCAGCCAUGCCGCGUGUAUGAAGAAGGCCUUCGGGUUGUAAAGUACUUUCAGCGGGGAGGAAGGUGUUGUGGUUAAUAACCGCAGCAAUUGACGUUACCCGCAGAAGAAGCACCGGCUAACUACGUGCCAGCAGCCGCGGUAAUACGUAGGGGACAAGCGUUGUCCGGAUUUACUGGGCGUAAAGGGCACGCAGGCGGUUUUUUAAGUCAGAUGUGAAAGGUACCGGCUCAACCGGUGACAUGCAUUUGAAACUGAAAGACUUGAGUAUUGGAGAGGCAAGUGGAAUUCCUAGUGUAGCGGUGAAAUGCGUAGAUAUUAGGAGGAACACCGGUGGCGAAGGCGGCUUGCUGGACAAAUACUGACGCUGAGGUGCGAAAGCGUGGGGAGCAAACA
RNAcentral lists this ribosomal RNA (407 nucleotides) under uncultured bacterium. Its description in RNAcentral is "bacterial SSU rRNA". It matches the Rfam family "Bacterial small subunit ribosomal RNA", at positions 375 to 774 of the family's 1533-position model. The record is from RNAcentral.